This is a long non-coding RNA of Bombus terrestris (buff-tailed bumblebee), 2874 nucleotides long. RefSeq lists it as uncharacterized. NCBI's taxonomy places the organism in Eukaryota, Metazoa, Arthropoda, Insecta, Hymenoptera, Apidae. The transcript is spliced from 2 exons. The record is from RefSeq and is a predicted model, not a curated record.
AAUGAACAAUUCAGACGAUCGUAACGAAGAUCGACCAAUGAUCAAUGACGUAGCUUCGUUCCGACGUGUAAGUUUAAGUUUAAGGGACCGAGAGAGAAAAGAGCGCGAAAAAGAAAGUCUCGGUCAGUAGGUAGAAAGCUGGUUGUCACGGAUAAACAUUUUCUAUCGUCUUCGAGCGAUUUACUUCUGGAGGUCAAGCUCGCCCACGCAACCGGCUUUUCUCCAGGGGCGUAUCCACGGGGCGUGUUCACGAAGCGGUAGGGUGUACCAGAGGCGGAGUCGUUUCCCCACCGUUCCCGACGCGCGAUUUUUGCUCUCGGCCAGGAACGUACACGCGUUUUCCGCCGUAUAUAUACACGUAAGUGGUUGGUUUCUGGGUCGUGUGAGUAACACCGUGACGUCCCACGUUCGGACACGGGUCACAGACAGUAGGCUUUGCCGAGUUUUCUUCGGUCGAUCGCCGGCUAAACGAUUUCUUAUGCCGCGACAUUGAACACUGCGAUGUCGAGAAUCGAACAAAACCACGCUUCGUCUUUUUCUUCGUUUAUUUUCUGUCUUCUCUCUUGACAGAGUGCGCUUCAACGAAGAACAAAUCUCGCGAGUGCGCCGAGCGACAACGAUACUUUCACUCGACUAUCGUCAGGUGUUUCUUAACUCUUUGCCUUACGAUGUUUUUCACUAGCCACCUCGGUGAGCCUUAUUCCAUGCUAUGACACUGUGUCAAACGCAAAAUAUCGAAACGUUACGAAGAAUCGAAACUAAAACAGCAGAUAGUUUCUUUUUCCUCUUUGUGCAUUCCAGCCGAUUCCUUCGCAGCUGACGAUUAGUUCCAUGCGCCAUGUUUCGAUCGAGUUUAUUCCUUCUUUACCGAGGAUUAUUCUCUGCAAGUGGAAAUCGCAUAAGUUACUUACAUAUUUGUUCGCUACGAAUUCAUGGAAAUACGUGCUUGGCAAACGCGCGAUCGAAUUCUCUUAUUGAAAAAGUAUUCGACGAAUCUCUCGAGUCGGACGAUAGAAGAAACGGCAGACUAUGGAAGAAACCAGAGGAAACUUUGCUCGUAUUUGCAAUGUUUAGCUUCCAUUAUAGCUGCGCUAUUUAGUUAUCGCGGUGGGAAAGUUUAUCCGUGAUACGGUGGCGCGAUCGACUGCACAUAGAUACAUCUUACGUACGGUGAACGAUGGAAUAUCGCAAAUUCCCUGACGGCACGGAUGGCAAAGGCAUUCUGGCGUAGCAAUUACCUGCAGGGCGAGGGAGUCAAGUAGCAAUAUCUGGACCCGUUAUCCAGUUCGGUUAUCCCGACUGGAAUGCUUUGUGUCGCCGGCAAUCUGCAUUUCUACCUGUUUGAAUGGAAGUCUAUGAGAUCCGCGGCAUGAUUUCAAAUGAAAUCGACUCUUUGUCCCCUGGCCGGAAAUUUCCAAUUCAAUAACGCGCCCAGGGAAACGCUGCAGAAACGACCGAUUGAUUGAUACUCGGAAUUGGAUGGAACGCGAAAGGACGGAAAAAGUUUUACUGCCGAUCGAUCGUCAUUCGAGAAAUUUGAAUGUCUUACGUGUAACCAAGAGCUAAUCCUGAAUCGAUUCGUUGGAUCUUAUUAAAGUUAUUAUUCGACUUUGUAUACGUACAUGUUACGCGUUACGAAUACCGCAUAUCGGGAAACGUUAAUAGAAUAUUUAAAACGUAGUAACAUCGUGAUGGCCUUUAAGUCUGACGAACGUCCGAACGUGCAUCGUAUUUCAGCAACUGUAGGUGUAUCGCUUCCUUUGGUUGGCUUUGGCAGAUUUUCUUCCAUUGGAACCUAUGAAUGACUGACUAGUCGAGAACUUGCCCGGCAACCCUUUGCAAUGCAUUAGAAUUUCGCAGCUAUCAAGGGAGGAAAGCGACAUUAGCAUCGAGGCUAAGGACACCCUUGCUUCGCGUUCGCGUCUUAUGUUUUCGUCGGCCCGGUAUUCAUGAACGGGGUUCUGACGCGGGGCAUUCGACUUCCUUCUCCUUCAUGAAUUUACAAUCGACCGAAGGAAAUGCGCAGACGAAGCUUGCGCGUGCCAUUCCUUGAGAAACAGUGCUAAAUACCAGAAGCUUCGAUGCUCGUUCCAUCGUUUUAGGUACGAGUUGUAAGAUUUGACGUAAUGUAUACUUAAAGGACAAUGGGAUAGAUACACUAUUCUCUAGAUGAAUUUUUAUUCUUCUUUGAGAGAUUAUCACUGACGACACAGAGACAUAUUGAGGAGUACUUCGUAGUUGUACAUACAUAGGUACUUUUAUAGAUUCCACGAUAGUUGUCAGAAAUGACUAAAAAGUCGACAGUUCUGCUAAUCGUAUCAAGUUGCGGCGACAAAUCCAUGGUCCAGCUAAUAAGAACGCUAGUGUCGAAGGACGAGGGAAAGAGAGAAAUAAUAACGAGGAAGACAGAGAUUGGAGGUUUAGUGGGCGAGGGUGAAUGUGGCGAGGGAAAGCGGAUGGAGGCUGGAGCCACGUGCUGCUGUCACUGGCACAGAUUAUAUUAUAUAGGAAUGGCAGCGAAUAGGUGUAGAUAUAAGCGUCGAGCGGCAGUUAAUAAAUAUGAUAAUGGCGGGCGAAGUGAGAGAAAGAGAGGGGUGUGUGGGGUGCGAUAUGGGAUACCAGUGUAUAAGAGUGACCACCAGAAGCAGAGGCCUGUCACCGUCAGGACCUCUCGUAUGUCAUGCGACGCACGCACGUAUACGUACAUGCACAUACAAAGUGGCGACACGCGCGCGAUGACAGCAUCGAGCGUGGAACGCGUGCUACUAUCUUUUUCUUUCGUUUUUCCGUCCUUUGCCGUGAUAUAAUCGUCGACGCGAUUACUCGAUUCCAAUGACAACUAUUUGAAUAAAAAAGCUGGCCGUCUUCCUCAAA